UGGGGAAUAUUGGGCAAUGGAGGAAACUCUGACCCAGCGACGCCGCGUGAGGGGAUGAAGGCCUUCGGGUUGUAAACCUCUUUCAGUAGGGAAGAAGCGAAAGUGACGGUACCUACAGAAGAAGCACCGGCUAACUAUGUGCCAGCAGCCGCGGUAAUACAUAGGGUGCAAGCGUUGUCCGGAAUUAUUGGGCGUAAAGAGCUCGUAGGUGGUUCGAUACGUCGGAUGUGAAAAUCAGGGGCUCAACCCCUGACCUGCAUCCGAUACGGUCGAGCUAGAGUUUGGUAGGGGAGACUGGAAUUCCUGGUGUAGCGGUGGAAUGCGCAGAUAUCAGGAGGAACACCGAUGGCGAAGGCAGGUCUCUGGGCCAAUACUGACACUGAGGAGCGAAAGCGUGGGGAGCGAACAGGAUUAGAUACCCUGGUAGUCCACGCCGUAAACGGUGGGCGCUAGUUGUGCGAACCUUCCACGGUUUGUGSGACGCAGCUAACGCAUUAAGCGCCCCGCCUGGGGAGUACGAUCGCAAGAUUA
Molecule: ribosomal RNA, 531 nt
Filed under: uncultured prokaryote
Description: bacterial SSU rRNA
Rfam family: Bacterial small subunit ribosomal RNA
Source: RNAcentral